Long non-coding RNA from Cyprinus carpio (common carp), 1158 nucleotides. The record is from Ensembl. Lineage: Eukaryota; Metazoa; Chordata; Actinopteri; Cypriniformes; Cyprinidae.
GGAAACCCACAGUCUCAGCUUCCUGGGAUAAAGGAGUGUUAUUUUUGGCCCUGCUCUUUUCCCCCUUUUUAUUCUGUUUUGUUUUAUUCCCUCCAUCCUUUCUCUUCUUCCUUUUGCCUCCGGAAAGAGCUGGACCGCUGUUACCUCCCUGAAACACGCCAAGCCGAGAGGGGUACGGUUGAUGUGCUAGUGCGAUACCUAGGUGAUGCUGUACCGGCAUCCGUCGCAGCCGGCUGGGUGCAGAAGAAGAAAAAGCAAGGGAUUGGAGGAGAGAGGGAGAGGGGUGUUCUACUUUCUCAACCCCACGAUCGGUCAACUGGGGCUUGUCCUCUUUCACUGCAGCACAUGGCAGCCUAUACAUACAAACACAAAACACUCCAGUUGCAUCACACAUACACAAACUGUAAAGUAAAGCUAAUUAACACACCUAUUAGCCUAAUCAAUACACAUCCUCUCACAUUAACUGAGGCCAGUGGUGCAUAAGGAGGUGCUAUGGGUAAAUAGUCAGGGGCGCUUUUAUAGGGACACUGUAGAAGUGUUUUCUUUCUCUUGUGAUAGCUUGAUGUUCACAGAAAUGACCUUUUAUUCCCAGGUGACAUUUGCACAGGCAUUCGGUGCAAACGAAAAACCACACAGGGCUAAUUAGGCUGCAUGCGGUUGUAUGUGUGUAUGCUUGUGCAUCGUUGUAGCUAAAAUAUGUAGCAUGUGAAGGGCUGAGAGAAAUGACUGAAACCAUGAAUGGAGAGAUGAACCACUCCUUUUUUCGAUCUUCCCUCGCUCUCGUGUACAUGAGCAGGAUGUGGGAGAGAAACUUCACACCUGAGGGGAGAAGAAAGAGGUGGAUGUAUGAAUGAAGCCCUAAGUAAUGGAGUCUGGUCAUACAUGGCAGGAUACGAAUGCUUUUGGUUGCCAGACCCCUGGCAUGUUGGUAAAAAAAAUCAGGCUGGGUGGCUACAAAAUCUGUCAUUUACUGGUAAUGAAUUUGCAGGGGUGGUGAGCUUUCGCUUUCAGUCAUCAAAAAAAAAUCAUUGUUCCUUGCACAAGUACAAAAGACUCUAAUAAGUGUGUAUUAAAAAGAACUUGAAUCAUAACAAAUUUGUUGUGUAUCCUACUCGAAAUGAAUGCAAAUAAAUGCAUCUGAAAGCAAAAUAUGAUGCA